GAUGAAGAACGUAGCGAAAUGCGAUAAGUAAUGUGAAUUGCAGAAUUCAGUGAAUCAUCGAAUCUUUGAACGCACAUUGCGCCCGCCAGUAUUCUGGCGGGCAUGCCUGUUCGAGCGUCAUUACAACCCUCAGGCCCCCGGGCCUGGCGUUGGGGAUCGGCGGAAGCCCCCUGCGGGCACAACGCCGUCCCCCAAAUACAGUGGCGGUCCCGCCGCAGCUUCCAUUGCGUAGUAGCUAACACCUCGCAACUGGAGAGCGGCGCGGCCACGCCGUAAAACACCCAACUUCUGAAUGUUGACCUCGAAUCAGGUAGGAAUACCCGCUGAACUUAAGAAUAUCAAAAGCGGAGGA
Molecule: unclassified non-coding RNA, 352 nt
Filed under: soil metagenome
Description: partial contains 5.8S ribosomal RNA, internal transcribed spacer 2, and large subunit ribosomal RNA
Rfam family: 5.8S ribosomal RNA (bases 1-120)
Source: RNAcentral